This is an RNA transcript of Prosopis cineraria, 1048 nucleotides long. It is a transcript of the gene named MLO-like protein 8, with no coding region annotated. The transcript is spliced from 4 exons. The record is from RefSeq and is a predicted model, not a curated record. NCBI's taxonomy places the organism in Eukaryota, Viridiplantae, Streptophyta, Magnoliopsida, Fabales, Fabaceae.
GAGGAAUGAGUGGAGGCGGGGAAGAAGAGACGACAUUAGAGCACACUCCCACAUGGGUUGUUGCUCUCGUUUGCACUGUCAUCGUCGCCGUUUCAUUCGCCGCCGAGCGUUUUCUUCAUUGUGGCGGAAAGUUCCUCAGGAAGAGAGAUCAGAAGCCACUCUAUGAAGCUCUUCGGAAAAUCAAAGAAGGCUCUGUGCCUCUCUCUCUACUUUUUUCUGUUCUUAAUAUUAAAAUAUAGUAUCUGUUUUGUUACUCUAUCUUUCCCCUCUCCUCCAUGAGUGGAUGUGCAGAGUUUUUGAAAAAUUUUGGAAGGUAUUUUAUUUAUUUAUGUAUUGCUGUGUUCGUUUUUCAGAGUUGAUGCUGUUGGGUUUUAUAUCGCUGCUUCUGACGGUUACACAGAAUGGGAUUACCGAAAUCAACGUGCCGGCUGGUUUGACCCGCCACAUGCUUCCUUGUAACCCGGAUAGAGGAGAAGGCGAAGAAUGUAACAUUACACAUUCCUCAGUUCUCAUUGAACAAGGUUCCGUUAUUAUCUGUGGAAGCCAUUCACCACCUGCGUAUCUUUAUAUUUGUUCUAGCUUUAGUCCACGUAACCUAUUGUGUUCUGGCUGUUUUCUUCGGAGGAUUGAAAAUACGUCAGUGGAAGCACUGGGAGGAUUCAGUUGCUAAAGACAACUACGAAGCACAGAAAGAUCACUCAUGUUCACCAGCAUGAUUUUAUUAAGGGUCGUUUUCUGGGUUUCGGUAAAGACUCUGCCCUGAUGGGUUGGUUGGUAAGUUUUUCAUAAGCUAAUCAGGAUCUGAAACCUAGAAUUGAUGAUGACAUAUUCAUAUCACUCAUGCUAAAACUACUCCUGAACCCCUUAUUUGAAGAUUUAGGCAUGUUCUAUAUAGUGCAUGCUGACACAUAAUCUAUGUUUCUUCAGUAUUUUCUUGCUUUUCCUUGUCCAAUAAAGCUUAAUGUUGAGCCAUUUCUGCUGAGUCUUUGUCCUUCUUGUGUCCACCUUAGUUGAUAUCACAAGGGACCAUGACCUUCUAAAGGAGUGG